GACGAACGCUGGCGGCGUGCUUAACACAUGCAAGUCGAACGGAAAGGCCCUGCUUUUGUGGGGUGCUCGAGUGGCGAACGGGUGGGUAACAAGUGAGUUAACUGCCCUUGACUUUGGGAUAACUUCAGGAAACUGGGGCUAAUACCGGAUAGGAGCUCCUGCUGCCUGGUGGGGGUUGGAAAGGUUCGGCGGUUGGGGAUGGACUCGCGGCUUAUCAGCUUGUUGGUGGGGUAGUGGCUUACCAAGGCUUUGACGGGUAGCCGGCCUGAGAGGGUGACCGGCCACAUUGGGACUGAGAUACGGCCCAGACUCCUACGGGAGGCAGCAGUGGGGAAUAUUGCACAAUGGGCGGAAGCCUGAUGCAGCAACGCCGCGUGCGGGAUGACGGCCUUCGGGUUGUAAACCGCUUUCGCCUGUGACGAAGCGUGAGUGACGGUAAUGGGUAAAGAAGCACCGGCUAACUACGUG
Molecule: ribosomal RNA, 468 nt
Filed under: uncultured bacterium
Lineage: Bacteria
Description: partial 16S ribosomal RNA
Rfam family: Bacterial small subunit ribosomal RNA
Source: RNAcentral